AAUAUUGGACAAUGGGCGAAAGCCUGAUCCAGCCAUGCCGCGUGUGUGAAGAAGGUCUUCGGAUUGUAAAGCACUUUAAGUUGGGAGGAAGGGCAGUAAGUUAAUACCUUGCUGUUUUGACGUUACCGACAGAAUAAGCACCGGCUAACUUCGUGCCAGCAGCCGCGGUAAUACGAAGGGUGCAAGCGUUAAUCGGAAUUACUGGGCGUAAAGCGCGCGUAGGUGGUUUGUUAAGUUGGAAGUGAAAGCCCCGGGCUCAACCUGGGAACUGCUUUCAAAACUGGCAAGCUAGAGUAUGGUAGAGGGUAGUGGAAUUUCCUGUGUAGCGGUGAAAUGCGUAGAUAUAGGAAGGAACAUCAGUGGCGAAGGCGGCACGCUGGGCCUGGCCUGACGCUCAGACGCGAAAGCAUGGGGAGCGAACGGG
RNAcentral lists this ribosomal RNA (424 nucleotides) under uncultured bacterium. RNAcentral describes it as "partial 16S ribosomal RNA". It matches the Rfam family "Bacterial small subunit ribosomal RNA", at positions 360 to 776 of the family's 1533-position model. The record is from RNAcentral.